Molecule: non-coding RNA, 3111 nt
Organism: Nothobranchius furzeri (turquoise killifish)
Lineage: Eukaryota; Metazoa; Chordata; Actinopteri; Cyprinodontiformes; Nothobranchiidae
Source: RefSeq, a predicted model, not a curated record
UAAUGAGAAAUGGUGUCAGAUGUUUUUAACAUUCUAGUUUUUUCUGUUUGAAGUUAAAUGUGUAGUCGGUUCAGCCCAAAAGCUACUAACGGCUCCAACAGCUAAUGCUAGUGUUGGAUUCAGACAGAAAACCGUCGAUUCUGCUACACUAAAAUAUUAUUUCUUUCUUUCUGUAAAGUGUAGAAACACGCAUAGAUUAAUGAGGAAACCCCCAAAUGAGUAAAAUCAGCUCAUUUUAAGCAGUGACUGUAAGGUUCAUAUUUGACAUUACAUCGCUGCAGUACUUUUAUUUAGAAAAUUACCAGUGCUUUUACAUUAAAACCGUGUGUGAUUUCCUGUCUAGCCCUAUGUUAACUGCGGAAAUCAACGUGUCGCAGAAGUGGCUCUCGGCAAAAUUAUAACCCGAUCCUAUCUUUAGCGGAGCGGUGUGCGGGUUUCGGUACGGGAUCUGCUCGGGUACAGGAUCGGCUCGGGGUCCUUCGACUGCCGAUGACGUCAACGUGGUUGAUUGGCUGAACAUGAAGCUUACGGAAGUGACGUAAUCACGUUAUGAUGAUAUAGUCUUAGCGGUUGUAGUCCUGUAGUCCAAAAAUCAACACGUUUUGGAGAAAAUAUGUUUGAAUUUCUAAAGGAAAUGUAAAAUAUAAGCAAUUGAUAAACGGUGACCCUCAAAAUCUCUUGAAGUUGAUGAAAUGGGGCAAAAUAAAAUAUAAUAACUUUAUUGAAAGACACCAAGCAACAUUUAGAGUCAAAGAAUGUAUUUAGAUAACAACUAAGGAAAUAUACAGACGAACUCCACAUUAAUACAAACAGAUAUGGCUUCACAUAUAAGAACUGUCCUAUUGUUUGUCAGUCCGAUGUUGGUUUUAUGCAGUUUCACAUUCUUUACAAAACAAAGAUAAUAUGGUGUUUUAUUAACAAAUUACAAUUAUAAAGAAAACAUUUAGGUGUUAACAAACAAGAAUUUAUUAACAACACUGCUGACGUCUUUCCAAAACGUAUGUGUGAAAGCCGAGUAGAGUUGCAGUCAUGUGAAGUCAUCGGCAGUCGAAGGACCCCGAGCUGAUCCUGUACCGACACUGGCUUCCUCAAUGAUCCAACACAAGAUGAAUGCAGUAGUAUAUCACGGCAGAAUCUAACCCUAACCCAGGCAAAAAAGGGUUUGGGGUAUUUCUUAUGAAGAAAUUACAAUAUCACAUGGUACAAUGUUCCAAAAAGUAGAUUUUUUUAAUGAUCUGAACAUUUACAAAAACUGUUCAAUCAAUGAACCUCUGUCCACAGUCUUGCGUUUUAUGUGAUAUUAGUUAUAGCUCCCCCUUCAGUUCCAGAACGUAAGUGUUGCAUUUUCCAAAUAUGGAAUGAGUCUGACUGGUAGCCCUACAACGCCUCUUUCUUCGUGCUGCAGCCAGGGCCUUCUCGCUACUUGGGCCAGCUCCUCCAGGAGAAUCCCAAGGUGUCCCCUGGCCAAACGAGUCCCUCCAGCGUAUCCUAGGUCUUCCCUUUGGUCUCCUCCCAGUUCGAGCACAAAUGUUUUAUUGUUAAAAUGUUAUAAUUAAAACAGUUUUUUCUUUGUCUGGCUUUUAUAGAUUAACAGAUAAUGUACAGGUCAAACAGCGCUGAGCAGAUAACAGAAUAUCUAGUGGUAAAAUCCAACAAUAUAAAAUCUUAUGUAACAUGAUAUGUUUUUGUUUUCUUUUUUAGACUGAGAGCUUUGAGCGUGGUUUGGUGCAUCAGCAGAAAGAACGUGAUUCCUUCUUCUGUGCUUACAGAAUAUUUCCUGUGUAUCCUGUGGUGACUGGUGAGUAAAACAUGUUAAAUGUAUGAUGGAGGUUUUUCCAGGUUUUCUACAGAGGUUAAAAACAGCUGUUGUCUGAAGAGUGUCUGCUGAUGUGGCAACAGGUAAUCAGGGAGACACCGAUAGCAGAUGUGCAAAACAAGGUAACACAAACACGGUCACUCUUGCCCCUCCCAUUGGCCAUCAUUCCCAGGCCAAGUCUGGCAGAUGUGGAACCUGCAUUGCCAGAGAAAACAAGAAAGCGCUAAACAUUGGUCGCCAUUUUCUAGGACCAAACGUCUUUGACUUGGGCUUUUCUUUCAGUCAAGAGCAGGUAGAGGUGCUUAAGUGUAUCUAGAGAUGCUCCGAUCUGAUCAUGUGAUUAGAAAUCGAGUCUGAUAUCGUGAUUUUUCAAUGGGCCUGAAUGAACUCUAUCAGAGUUUCUCAGAAAAAUUAGUUGUGCAGACUUGCACAUGCACCCACAUACAUAACAGACUCACUGCUCAGUAGAAUGAGCAAACAUAGAAACUGCAGCAGGCUGGAGGGUUUCCACUCCACCUAGAUCACUAGAAGAAAGGGAGGAGAAUGUUUCCUUUAUGGAGGCAAGCGGCUCUGAGCUGUAACGUUUUCAUAUCGACCUGUGAGAUGACUCUUGUCGUGAGUUGCCACUAUGUAAAUAAACUUAAUUGAAUGAAUUCUGAGUGGAGGUGUGGUCAUGACUCAGCUGGAGUCCAGUGCAGUUCUGUCAUUUAACGUCACCUUGUACCUUUUAGCCAUCAGCUGUGGCAGAUUCAGAAUCAAUUUAGAGCAGAGUUUUAACCUGGAGAUGGACAAAUGGCUAUGGUUUGAAGAUGAAUUAUGAAAUUUUAAGUAAGCGGAGGCUUACAGCUGUGCUUUGUGAUAAAGUAGGCCCAAGUCUAAAAUGACGCCAGUUAUUCAUUUAUGUUACUAAUUACUUGCAGUCAGUCUGAUUGUUUAGGUCACCAAGCAGAAUUGGGAUAGCUAAAUAGUAAUUUUAAGGAUGUUUUACUCACAAUGCUAGUUGGAUCCAUUCACUUACUGUGUUUUAUGCUAAGCUAAAGGAGUACAGCCGGGUUGGGAGCAUGACUGGGCUGGUUACAAAUUGAUUUUUUCCUACUUAUUGAAAUAUUAAACAAAAAAAUCUGAGAAAUAUGUCAAUAGACAAAUUAAAAUUUUGGGUGGAAUAUCCCUUUAAGGAGGACACUAUGCUACAUGCUUGAAGGAUCCCAUGUUCCUGAGAAGGCUGUGUGAAGAAAACCUGGCUGCAUGUGGGCGGGCCGACCAGAUUGAUGUUUGUGUUUAACCAAAUUAUUUCU